Molecule: ribosomal RNA, 270 nt
Filed under: uncultured archaeon
Lineage: Archaea
Description: partial 16S ribosomal RNA
Rfam family: Archaeal small subunit ribosomal RNA
Source: RNAcentral
CAGCUCUCCGAGUGGUAGGGACGAUUAUUGGGCUUAAAGCGUCCGUAGCCGGCUCAGCAAGUCCUCCGUUAAAUCCAGCGAUUCAAUCGUUGGGCUGCGGGGGAUACUGUUGGGCUUGGGGACGAGAGAGGCCGACGGUAUUCUCGGAGUAGGGGUGAAAUCCUAUAAUUCCGGGAGGACCACCAGUGGCGAAGGCUGUCGGCUAGAACGAGCUCGACGGUGAGGGACGAAAGCUGGGGGAGCAAACCGGAUUAGAGACCCGAGUAGUCC